Molecule: transfer RNA, 74 nt
Filed under: Stegodyphus mimosarum
Lineage: Eukaryota; Metazoa; Arthropoda; Arachnida; Araneae; Eresidae
Rfam family: tRNA
About the family: Transfer RNA (tRNA) molecules are approximately 80 nucleotides in length. Their secondary structure includes four short double-helical elements and three loops (D, anti-codon, and T loops). Further hydrogen bonds mediate the characteristic L-shaped molecular structure. tRNAs have two regions of fundamental functional importance: the anti-codon, which is responsible for specific mRNA codon recognition, and the 3' end, to which the tRNAs corresponding amino acid is attached (by aminoacyl-tRNA synthetases). tRNAs cope with the degeneracy of the genetic code in two manners: having more than one tRNA (with a specific anti-codon) for a particular amino acid; and 'wobble' base-pairing, i.e. permitting non-standard base-pairing at the 3rd anti-codon position.
Source: Rfam by way of RNAcentral
GCCUUCGUGGUGCAAUGGUCAAGCACACUAGACACGUAUUCGAGAGGUCCGUGGUUCGAGUCCCGGCGAAGGCA